This 253-nucleotide ribosomal RNA is filed under the name uncultured bacterium. RNAcentral's name for it is "partial 16S ribosomal RNA". It matches the Rfam family "Bacterial small subunit ribosomal RNA", at positions 524 to 776 of the family's 1533-position model. The record is from RNAcentral.
GACGUAGGGCGCGAGCGUUGUCCGGAUUUAUUGGGCGUAAAGAGCUCGUAGGCGGCUUGUCGCGUCGUUCGUGAAAACCUGGGGCUCAACUCCAGGCUUGCGGGCGAUACGGGCAGGCUAGAGUCCGGAAGAGGAGAGUGGAAUUCCCGGUGUAGCGGUGAAAUGCGCAGAUAUCGGGAAGAACACCCGUGGCGAAGGCGGCUCUCUGGGACGGUACUGACGCUGAGACGCGAAAGCGUGGGGAGCAAACAGG